Molecule: long non-coding RNA, 92 nt
Organism: Melanotaenia boesemani (Boeseman's rainbowfish)
Lineage: Eukaryota; Metazoa; Chordata; Actinopteri; Atheriniformes; Melanotaeniidae
Exons: 3
Source: RefSeq, a predicted model, not a curated record
UUGACGUCUGUUGACCAAUUGUGGAAAAUGUCCCAGUGCAUUAAAUCAAACGCACUGAUCCCCAUAGCAAUCGUUAUUUGAGCAGUAGGCCU